This 253-nucleotide ribosomal RNA is filed under the name uncultured bacterium. RNAcentral's name for it is "partial 16S ribosomal RNA". It matches the Rfam family "Bacterial small subunit ribosomal RNA", at positions 524 to 776 of the family's 1533-position model. The record is from RNAcentral.
UACGUAGGUGGCAAGCGUUGUCCGGAAUUAUUGGGCGUAAAGCGCGCGCAGGCGGUCCUUUAAGUCUGAUGUGAAAGCCCACGGCUCAACCGUGGAGGGUCAUUGGAAACUGCGGGACUUGAGUACAGAAGAGGAAAGCGGAAUUCCAAGUGUAGCGGUGAAAUGCGUAGAGAUUUGGAGGAACACCAGUGGCGAAGGCGGCUUUCUGGUCUGUAACUGACGCUGAGGCGCGAAAGCGUGGGGAGCAAACAGG